GAUGAAGAACGCAGCGAAAUGCGAUAAGUAAUGUGAAUUGCAGAAUUCAGUGAAUCAUCGAAUCUUUGAACGCACAUUGCGCCCAUUAGUAUUCUAGUGGGCAUGCCUGUUCGAGCGUCAUUUGUACCUUCAAGCUCUGCUUGGUGUUGGGUGUUUGUCUCGCCUCUGCGUGUAGACUCGCCUUAAAACAAUUGGCAGCCGGCGUAUUGAUUUCGGAGCGCAGUACAUCUCGCGCUUUGCACUCAUAACGACGACGUCCAAAAGUACAUUUUUACACUCUUGACCUCGGAUCAGGUAGGGAUACCCGCUGAACUUAAGCAUAUCAAUAAGCGGAGGA
Molecule: unclassified non-coding RNA, 337 nt
Filed under: soil metagenome
Description: partial contains 5.8S ribosomal RNA, internal transcribed spacer 2, and large subunit ribosomal RNA
Rfam family: 5.8S ribosomal RNA (bases 1-120)
Source: RNAcentral